RNAcentral lists this long non-coding RNA (627 nucleotides) under Trifolium pratense (red clover). RNAcentral's name for it is "long non-coding RNA (TPRA_LNC011661)". Lineage: Eukaryota; Viridiplantae; Streptophyta; Magnoliopsida; Fabales; Fabaceae. The record is from RNAcentral.
UCCGCUCAAAAUUUUCCGCUUCCGAGAGCUUGGUAAUAUCCCAUAAUACCCCCGAGUCACUAAUCGAAGCACCCAAAGAUUUUCCGGGCAAAGCCUCUAAUUACGACAUUUUAAAUUUUUGGUUCUUUGAGACACAACCCACACCAAAACCAUUUUUACCCCAUUUUUACCCAAAUCUUUUUGCAUGGUAAUUCGCCCUAGGCCACAAUCGUGCCUCCCCCAAAGCCUUAACAAUUUUUUAAAACUCCUCCUCACUUUUCAAAAUUUUCCUCAUGGCAAAAGUUUUGAAAACUAGGCCAACACUCAAAUUUUUUUAGAAUGCCACAUCCUAGCAAUCCUCUAUUAGUUCACAAAGCCAUUACAUUGAUCAAUUGAACCACUUAGCAUCAAAACAAAAGUUUCUAAGAAAAUAUGUUCAUUAUGCCUCAAGAACACACACCAAAAAAUUAUUUUUCUUGUAUCACCAAACCAAGACCAUAAUCCAAUAUCCAUUUUUCCACAAAGCUCAAAUACAACCUCAAAAAUAAAAGCACAACAAAAUUUCACAAAGUUAUGACCAUUUCAAAAUUAUUUCUUCAAAACCUAACAAAAUUUUGUGAAACUUUCAAUCACCAUGAGAAUCCAAAC